GCCCGCCAAGUCAGGGGCCAUUCCGAGUCCCGCGGACGAAGUUCGCCCACGCCCCACACCAAGGCCAUAGCCCACCCGUUUUUUGGCCAUUUUUCCGCUGGGGGGUCUUGGGACCCCGACCUUCGGGGGCUGAUUUUUGGGCGCGGCUGUGCCCGUGGCCUAUUUUUGGCACACAGAGGCCGCCCGCCAAGUAUGGUGCCAUUCCGAGUCCCGCGGACGAACUUCGCCCACGCCGCCCACCAAGGCUAUAGCCCACCCGUUUUUUGGCCAUUUUUCCGCUGGGGGGUCUUGGGACCUCGACCUUCGGGGGCUGAUUUUUGGGCGCGGCUGUGCCCGUGUCCUAUUUUUGGCACACGGAGGCCGCCCGCCAAGUCAGGGGCCAUUCCGAGUCCCGCGGACGAAGUUCGCCCACGCCCCCCACCAAGGCUAUAGCCCACCCGUUUUUUGGCCAUUUUUCCGCUGGGGGGUCUUGGGACCCCGACCUUCGGGGGCUGAUUUUUGGGCGCGGCUGUGCCCGUGGCCUAUUUUUGGCACACGGAGGCCGCCCGCCAAGUCAGGGGCCAUUCCGAGUCCCGCGGACGAACUUCGCCCACGCCCCCCACCAAGGCUAUAGCCCACCCGUUUUUUGGCCAUUUUUCCGCUGGGGGGUCUUGGGACCCCGACCUUCGGGGGCUGAUUUUUGGGCGCGGCUGUGCCCGUGGCCUAUUUUUGGCACACAGAGGCCGCCCGCCAAGUAUGGUGCCAUUCCGAGUCCCGCGGACGAACUUCGCCCACGCCCCCCACCAAGGCUAUAGCCCACCCGUUUUUUGGCCAUUUUUCCGCUGGGGGGUCUUGGGACCCCGACCUUCGGGGGCUGAUUUUUGGGCGCGGCUGUGCCCGUGGCCUAUUUUUGGCACACGGAGGCCGCCCGCCAAGUCAGGGGCCAUUCCGAGUCCCGCGGACGAAGUUCGCCCACGCCCCCCACCAAGGCUAUAGCCCACCCGUUUUUUGGCCAUUUUUCCGCUGGGGGGUCUUGGGACCCCGACCUUCGGGGUCUGAUUUUUGGGCGCGGCUGUGCCCGUGGCCUAUUUUUGGCACACAGAGGCCGCCCGCCAAGUAUGGUGCCAUUCCGAGUCCCGCGGACGAACUUCGCCCACGCCCCCCACCAAGGCUAUAGCCCACCCGUUUUUUGGCCAUUUUUCCGCUGGGGGGUCUUGGGACCCCGACCUUCGGGGGCUGAUUUUUGGGCGCGGCUGUGCCCGUGGUCUAUUUUUGGCACACGGAGGCCGCCCGCCAAGUCAGGGGCCAUUCCGAGUCCCGCGGACGAACUUCGCCCACGCCGCCCACCAAGGCUAUAGCCCACCCGUUUUUUGGCCAUUUUUCCGCUGGGGGGUCUUGGGACCCCGACCUUCGGGGGCUGAUUUUUGUGCGCGGCUGUGCCCGUGGCCUAUUUUUGGCACACAGAGGCCGCCCGCCAAGUAUGGUGCCAUUCCGAGUCCCGCGGACGAACUUCGCCCACGCCCCCCACCAAGGCUAUAGCCCACCCGUUUUUUGGCCAUUUUUCCGCUGGGGGGUCUUGGGACCCCGACCUUCGGGGGCUGAUUUUUGGGCGCGGCUGUGCCCGUGGCCUAUUUUUGGCACACGGAGGCCGCCCGCCAAGUCAGGGGCCAUUCCGAGUCCCGCGGAUGAAGUUCGCCCACGCCCCCCACCAAGGCUAUAGCCCACCCGUUUUUUGGCCAUUUUUCCACUGGGGGGUCUUGGGACCCCGACCUUCGGGGGCUGAUUUUUGUACGCGGCUGUGCCCGUGGCCUAUUUUUGGCACACAGAGGCCGCCCGCCAAGUAUGGUGCCAUUCCGAGUCCCGCGGACGAACUUCGCCCACGCCCCCCACCAAGGCUAUAGCCCACCCGUUUUUUGGCCAUUUUUCCGCUGGGGGGUCUUGGGACCCCGACCUUCGGGGGCUGAUUUUUGGGCGCGGCUGUGCCCGUGGCCUAUUUUUGGCACACGGAGGCCGCCCGCCAAGUCAGGGGCCAUUCCGAGUCCCGCGGACGAAGUUCGCCCACGCCCCCCACGAAGGCUAUAGCCCACCCAUUUUUUGGCCAUUUUUCCACUGGGGGGUCUUGGGAGCCCGACCUUCGGGGGCUGAUUUUUGUGCGCGGCUGUGCCCGUGGCCUAUUUUUGGCACACAGAGGCCGCCCGCCAAGUAUGGUGCCAUUCCGAGUCCCGCGGACGAACUUCGCCCACGCCGCCCACCAAGGCUAUAGCCCACCCGUUUUUUGGCCAUUUUUCCGCUGGGGGGUCUUGGGACCCCGACCUUCGGGGGCUGAUUUUUGGGCGCGGCUGUGCCCGUGGCCUAUUUUUGGCACACGGAGGCCGCCCGCCAAGUCAGGGGCCAUUCCGAGUCCCGCGGACGAAGUUCGCCCACGCCCCCCACCAAGGCUAUAGCCCACCCGUUUUUUGGCCAUUUUUCCGCUGGGGGGUCUUGGGACCCCGACCUUCGGGGGCUGACUUUUGGGAGCGGCUGUGCCCGUGGCCUAUUUUUGGCACACAGAGGCCGCCCGCCAAGUAUGGUGCCAUUCCGAGUCCCGCGGACGAACUUCGCCCACGCCCCCCACCAAGGCUAUAGCCCACCCGUUUUUUGGCCAUUUUUCCGCUGCGGGGUCUUGGGACCCCGACCUUCGGGGGCUGAUUUUUGGGCGCGGCUGUGCCCGUGGCCUAUUUUUGGCACACAGAGGCCGCCCGCCAAGUAUGGUGCCAUUCCGAGUCCCGCAGACGAACUUCGCCUACGCCGCCCACCAAGGCUAUAGCCCACCCGUUUUUUGGCCAUUUUUCCGCUGGGGGGUCUUGGGACCCCGACCUUCGGGGGCUGAUUUUUGGGCGCGGCUGUGCCCGUGGCCUAUUUUUGGCACACGGAGGCCGCCCGCUAAGUCAGGGGCCAUUCCGAGUCCCGCGGACUAAGUUCGCCCACGCCCCCCACCAAGGCCAUUGCCCGACCGUUUUAUGGCCAUUUUUCCACUGGGGGGUCUUGCGACCCCGACCUUCGGGGGCUGAUUUUUGGGCGCGGCUGUGCCCGUGUCCUAUUUUUGGCACACAGAGGCCGCCCGCCAAGUAUGGUGCCAUUCCGAGUCCCGCGGACGAACUUCGCCCACGCCCCCCACCAAGGCUAUAGCCCACCCGUUUUUUGGCCAUUUUUCCGCUGGGGGGUCUUGGGACCCCGACCUUCGGGGGCUGACUUUUGGGCGCGGCUGUGCCCGUGGCCUAUUUUUGGCACACAGAGGCCGCCCGCCAAGUAUGGUGCCAUUCCGAGUCCCGCGGACGAACUUCGCCCACGCCCCCCACCAAGGCUAUAGCCCACCCGUUUUUUGGCCAUUUUUCCGCUGGGGGGUCUUGGGACCCCGACCUUCGGGGGCUGAUUUUUGGGCGCGCCUGUGCCCGUGGCCUAUUUUUGGCACACAGAGGCCGCCCGCCAAGUAUGGUGCCAUUCCGAGUCCCGCGGACGAACUUCGCCCACGCCCCCCACCAAGGCUAUAGCCCACCCGUUUUUUGGCCAUUUUUCCGCUGGGGGGUCUUGGGACCCCGACCUUCGGGGGCUGACUUUUGGGCGCGGCUGUGCCCGUGGCCUAUUUUUGGCACACAGAGGCCGCCCGCCAAGUAUGGUGCCAUUCCGAGUCCCGCGGACGAACUUCGCCCACGCCCCCCACCAAGGCUAUAGCCCACCCGUUUUUUGGCCAUUUUUCCGCUGGGGGGUCUUGGGACCCCGACCUUCGGGGGCUGAUUUUUGGGCGCGCCUGUGCCCGUGGCCUAUUUUUGGCACACAGAGGCCGCCCGCCAAGUAUGGUGCCAUUCCGAGUCCCGCGGACGAACUUCGCCCACGCCGCCCACCAAGGCUAUAGCCCACCCGUUUUUUGGCCAUUUUUCCGCUGGGGGGUCUUGGGACCCCGACCUUCGGGGGCUGAUUUUUGGGCGUGGCUGUGCCCGUGGCCUAUUUUUGGCACACGGAGGCCGCCCGCCAAGUCAGGGGCCAUUCUGAGUCCCGCGGACGAAGUUCGCCCACGCCCCACACCAAGGCCAUAGCCCACCCGUUUUUUGGCCAUUUUUCCGCUGGGGGGUCUUGGGACCCCGACCUUCGGGGGCUGACUUUUGGGAGCGGCUGUGCCCGUGGCCUAUUUUUGGCACACAGAGGCCGCCCGCCAAGUAUGGUGCCAUUCCGAGUCCCGCGGACGAACUUCGCCCACGCCCCCCACGAAGGCUAUAGCCCACCCGUUUUUUGGCAAUUUUUCCGCUGGGGGGUCUUGGGACCCCGACCUUCGGGGGCUGAUUUUUGGGCGCGGCUGUGCCCGUGGCCUAUUUUUGGCACACGGAGGCCGCCCGCCAAGUCAGGGGCCAUUCCGAGUCCCGCGGACGAAGUUCGCCCACGCCCUCCACCAAGGCUAUAGCCCACCCGUUUUUUGGCUAUUUUUCCACUGGGGGGUCUUGGGACCCCGACUUUCGGGUGCUGAUUUUUGGGCGCGGCUGUGCCCGUGGCCUAUUUUUGGCACACAGAGGCCGCCCGCCAAGUAUGGUGCCAUUCCGAGUCCCGCGGACGAACUUCGCCCACGCCCCCCACCAAGGCUAUAGCCCACCCGUUUUUUGGCCAUUUUUCCGCUGGGGGGUCUUGGGACCCCGACCUUCCGGGGCUGAUUUUUGAGCGCGGCUGUGCCCGUGGCCUAUUUUUGGCACACAGAGGCCGCCCGCCAAGUAUGGUGCCAUUCCGAGUCCCGCGGACGAACUUCGCCCACGCCGCCCACCAAGGCUAUUGCCCACCCGUUUUUUGGCCAUUUUUCCGCUGGGGGGUCUUGGGACCCCGACCUUCGGGGGCUGAUUUUUGGGCGCGGCUGUGCCCGUGGCCUAUUUUUGGCACACAGAGGCCGCCCGCCAAGUAUGGUGCCAUUCCGAGUCCCGCGGACGAACUUCGCCCACGCCGCCCACCAAGGCUAUAACCCACCCGUUUUUUGGCCAUUUUUCCGCUGGGGGGUCUUGGGACCCCGACCUUCGGGGGCUGAUUUUUGGGCGCGGCUGUGCCCGUGGCCUAUUUUUGGCACACAGAGGCCGCCCGCCAAGUAUGGUGCCAUUCCGAGUCCCGCGGACGAACUUCGCCCACGCCCCCCACCAAGGCUAUAGCCCACCCGUUUUUUGGCCAUUUUUCCGCUGGGGGGUCUUGGGACCCCGACCUUCGGGGGCUGAUUUUUGGGCGCGGCUGUGCCCGUGGCCUAUUUUUGGCACACAGAGGCCGCCCGCCAAGUAUGGUGCCAUUCCGAGUCCCGCGGACGAACUUCGCCCACGCCCCCCACCAAGGCUAUAGCCCACCCGUUUUUUGGCCAUUUUUCCGCUGGGGGGUCUUGGGACCCCGACCUUCGGGGGCUGAUUUUUGGGCGCGGCUGUGCCCGUGGCCUAUUUUUCGCACACAGAGGCCGCCCGCCAAGUAUGGUGCCAUUCCGAGUCCCGCGGACGAACUUCGCCCACACCCCCCACCAAGGCUAUAGCCCACCCGUUUUUUGGCCAUUUUUCCGCUGGGGGGUCUUGGGACCCCGACCUUCGGGGGAUGAUUUUUGGGCGCGGCUGUGCCCGUGGCCUAUUUUUGGCACACGGAGGCCGCCCGCCAAGUCAGGGGCCAUUCCGAGUCCCGCGGACGAACUUCGCCCACGCCGCCCACCAAGGCUAUAGCCCACCCGUUUUUUGGCCAUUUUUCCGCUGGGGGAUCUUGGGACCCCGACCUUCGGGGGCUGAUUUUUGGGCGCGGCUGUGCCCGUGGCCUAUUUUUGGCACACAGAGGCCGCCCGCCAAGUAUGGUGCCAUUCCGAGUCCCGCGGAUGAACUUCGCCCACGCCGCCCACCAAGGCUAUAGCCCACCCGUUUUUUGGCCAUUUUUCCGCUGGGGGGUCUUGGGACCCCGACCUUCGGGUGCUGAUUUUAGGGCGCGGCUGUGCCCGUGGCCUAUUUUUGGCACACAGAGGCCGCCCGCCAAGUAUGGUGCCAUUCCGAGUCCCGCGGACGAACUUCGCCCACGCCGCCCACCAAGGCUAUAGCCCACCCGUUUUUUGGCCAUUUUUCCGCUGGGGGGUCUUGGGACCCCGACCUUCGGGUGCUGAUUUUUGGGCGCGGCUGUGCCCGUGGCCUAUUUUUUGGCACACAGAGGGCCGCCCGCCAAGUCAGGGUGCCAUUCCGAGUCCCGCGGACGAAGUUCGCCCACGCCCCCCACCAAGGCUAUAGCCCACCCGUUUUUUGGCCAUUUUUCCGCUGGGGGGUCUUGGGACCCCGACCUUCGGGGGCUGAUUUUUGGGCGCGGCUGUGCCCGUGGCCUAUUUUUGGCACACGGAGGCCGCCCGCCAAGUCAGGGGCCAUUCCGAGUCCCGCGGACGAAGUUCGCCCACGCCCCCCACCAAGGCUAUAGCCCACCCGUUUUUUGGCCAUUUUUCCGCUGGGGGGUCUUGGGACCCCAACCUUCGGGGGCUGAUUUUUGAGCGCGGCUGUGCCCGUGGCCUAUUUUUGGCACACGGAGGCCGCCCGCCAAGACAGGGGCCAUUCCGAGUCCCGCGGACGAACUUCGCCCACGCCGCCCACCAAGGCUAUAGCCCACCCGUUUUUUGGCCAUUUUUCCGCUUGGGGGUCUUGGGACCCCGACCUUCGGGGGCUGAUUUUUGAGCGCGGCUGUGCCCGUGGCCUAUUUUUGGUACACGGAGGCCGCCCGCCAAGUCUGGUGCCAUUCCGAGUCCCGCGGACGAACUUCGCCCACGCCGCCCACCAAGGCUAUAGCCCACCCGUUUUUUGACCAUUUUUCCGCUGGGGGGUCUUGGGACCCCGACCUUCGGGGGCUGAUUUUUGGGCGCGGCUGUGCCCGUGGCCUAUUUUUGGCACACAGAGGCCGCCCGCCAAGUAUGGUGCCAUUCCGAGUCCCGCGGACGAACUUCGCCCACGCCCCCCACCAAGGCUAUAGCCCACCCGUUUUUUGGCCAUUUUUCCGCUGGGGGGUCUUGGGACCCCGACCUUCGGGGGCUGAUUUUUGGGCGCGGCUGUGCCCGUGGCCUAUUUUUGGCACACAGAGGCCGCCCGCCAAGUAUGGUGCCAUUCCGAGUCCCGCGGACGAACUUCGCCCACGCCGCCCACCAAGGCUAUAGCCCACCCGUUUUUUGGCCAUUUUUCCGCUGGGGGGUCUUGGGACCCCGACCUUCGGGGGCUGAUUUUUGGGCGCGGCUGUGCCCGUGGCCUAUUUUUGGCACACGGAGGCCGCCCGCCAAGUCAGGGGCCAUUCCGAGUCCCGCGGACGAAGUUCGCCCACGCCCCACACCAAGGCCAUAGCCCACCCGUUUUUUGGCCAUUUUUCCGCUGGGGGGUCUUGGGACCCCGACCUUCGGGGGCUGAUUUUUGGGCGCGGCUGUACCCGUGGCCCAGUUUUGGCACACGGAGGCCGCCCGCCAAGUCAGGGGCCAUUCCGAGUCCCGCGGAUGAAGUUCGCCCACGCCCCCCACCAAGGCUAUAGCCCACCCGUUUUUUGGCCAUUUUUCCACUGGGGGGUCUUGGGACCCCGACCUUCGGGGGCUGAUUUUUGUACGCGGCUGUGCCCGUGGCCUAUUUUUGGCACACAGAGGCCGCCCGCCAAGUAUGGUGCCAUUCCGAGUCCCGCGGACGAACUUCGCCCACGCCCCCCACCAAGGAUAUAGCCCACCCGUUUUUUGGCCAUUUUUCCGCUGGGGGGUCUUGGGACCCCGACCUUCAGGGGCUGAUUUUUGGGCGCGGCUGUGCCCGUGGCCUAUUUUUGGCACACGGAGGCCGCCCGCCAAGUCAGGGGCCAUUCCGAGUCCCGCGGACGAAGUUCGCCCACGCCCCCCACCAAGGCUAUAGCCAACCCGUUUUUUGGCCAUUUUUCCGCUGGGGGGUCUUGGGACCCCGACCUUCGGGGGCUGAUUUUUGGGCGCGGCUGUGCCCGUGGCCUAUUUUUGGCACACAGAGGCCGCCCGCCAAGUAUGGUGCCAUUCCGAGUCCCGCGGACGAACUUCGCCCACGCCGCCCACCAAGGCUAUAGCCCACCCGUUUUUUGGCCAUUUUUCCGCUGGGGGGUCAUGGGACCCCGACCUUCGGGGGCUGAUUUUUGGGCGCGGCUGUGCCCGUGGCCUAUUUUUGGCACACAGAGGCCGCCCGCCAAGUAUGGUGCCAUUCCGAGUCCCGCGGACGAACUUCGCCCACGCCCCCCACCAAGGCUAUAGCCCACCCGUUUUUUGGCCAUUUUUCCGCUGGGGGGUCUUGGGACCCCGACCUUCGGGGGCUGAUAUUUGGGCGCGGCUGUGCCCGUGGCCCAGUUUUGGCACACGGAGGCCGCCCGCCAAGUCGGGGGCCAUUCCGAGUCCCGCGGAUGAAGUUCGCCCACGCCCCCCACCAAGGCUAUAGCCCACCCGUUUUUUGGCCAUUUUUCCGCUGGGUGGUCUUGGGACCCCGACCUUCGGGGGCUGAUUUUUGGGCGCGGCUGUGCCCGUGGCCUAUUUUUGGCACACAGAGGCCGCCCGCCAAGUAUGGUGCCAUUCCGAGUCCCGCGGACGAACUUCGCCCACGCCGCCCACCAAUUCUAUAGCCCACCCGUUUUUUGGCCAUUUUUCCGCUGGGGGGUCUUGGGACCCCGACCUUCGGGGGCUGAUUUUUGGGCGCGGCUGUGCCCGUGGCCUAUUUUUGGCACACGGAGGCCGCCCGCCAAGUCAGGGGCCAUUCCGAGUCCCGCGGACGAAGUUCGCCCACGCCGUCCACCAAGGCUAUAGCCCACCCGUUUUUUGGCCAUUUUUCCACUGGGGGGUCUUGGGACACCGACUUUCGGGUGCUGAUUUUUGGGCGCGGCUGUGCCCGUGGCCUAUUUUUGGCACACAGAGGCCGCCCACCAAGUAUGGUGCCAUUCCGAGUCCCGCGGACGAACUUCGCCCACGCCCCCCACCAAGGCUAUAGCCCACCCGUUUUUUGGCCAUUUUUCCGCUGGGGGGUCUUGGGACCCCGACCUUCGGGGGCUGAUUUUUGGGCGCGGCUGUGCCCGUGGCCUAUUUUUGGCACACGGAGGCCGCCCGCCAAGUCAGGGGCCAUUCCGAGUCCCGCGGACGAACUUCGCCCACGCCGCCCACCAAGGCUAUAGCCCACCCGUUUUUUGGCCAUUUUUCCGCUGGGGGGUCUUGGGACCCCGACCUUCGGGGGCUGAUUUUUGGGCGCGGCUGUGCCCGUGGCCUAUUUUUGGCACACAGAGGCCGCCCGCCAAGUACGGUGCCAUUCCGAGUCCCGCGGACGAACUUCGCCCACGCCGCCCACCAAGGCUGUAGCCCACCCGUUUUUUGGCCAUUUUUCCGCUGGGGGGUCUUGGGACCCCGACCUUCGGGGGCUGAUUUUUGGGCGCGGCUGUGCCCGUGGCCUAUUUUUGGCACACGGAGGCCGCCCGCCAAGUCAGGGGCCAUUCCGACUCCCGCGGACGAAGUUCGCCCACGCCCCCCACCAAGGCUAUAGCCCACCCGUUUUUGGCCAUUUUUCCGCUGGGGGGUCUUGGGACCCCGACCUUCGGGGGCUGAUUUUUGGGCGCGGCUGUGCCCGUGGCCUAUUUUUAGCACACAGAGGCCGCCCGCCAAGUAUGGUGCCAUUCCGAGUCCCGCGGACGAACUUCGCCCACGCCCCCCACCAAGGCUAUAGCCCACCCGUUUUUUGGCCAUUUCUCCGCUGGUGGGUCUUGGGACCCCGACCUUCGGGGGCUGAUUUUUGGGCGCGGCUGUGCCCGUGGCCUAUUUUUGGCACACGGAGGCCGCCCGCCAAGUCAGGGGCCAUUCCGAGUCCCGCGGACGAAGUUCGCCCACGCCCCCCACCAAGGCUAUAGCCCACCCGUUUUUUGGCCAUUUUUCCACUGGGGGGUCUUGGGACCCCGACCUUCGGGGGCUGAUUUUUGGGCGCGGCUGUGCCCGUGGCCUAUUUUUGGCACACAGAGGCCGCCCGCCAAGUAUGGUGCCAUUCCGAGUCCCGCGGACGAACUUCGCCCACACCCCCAACAAGGCUAUAGCCCACCCGUUUUUUGGCCAUUUUUCCGCUGGUGGGUCUUGGGACCCCGACCUUCGGGGGCUGAUUUUUGGGCGCGGCUGUGCCCGUGCCCUAUUUUUGGCACACGGAGGCCGCCCGCCAAGUCAGGGGCCAUUCCGAGUCCCGCGGACGAAGUUCGCCCACGCCCCCCACCAAGGCUAUAGCCCACCCGUUUUUUGGCCAUUUUUCCACUGGGGGGUCUUGGGACCCCGACCUUCGGGGGCUGAUUUUUGUGCGCGGCUGUGCCCGUGGCCUAUUUUUGGCACACAGAGGCCGCCCGCCAAGUAUGGUGCCAUUCCGAGUCCCGCGGACGAACUUCGCCCACGCCCCCCACCAAGGCUAUAGCCCACCCGUUUUUUGGCCAUUUUUUCGCUGGGGGGUCUUGGGACCCCGACCUUCGGGGGCUGAUUUUUGGGCGCGGCUGUGCCCGUGGCCUAUUUUUGGUACCCGGAGGCCGCCCGCCAAGUCAGGGGCCAUUCCGAGUCCCGCGGACGAAGUUCGCCCACGCCCCCCACCAAGGCUAUAGCCCACCCGUUUUUUGGCCAUUUUUCCGCUGGGGGGUCUUGGGACCUCGACCUUCGGGGGCUGAUUUUUGGGCGCGGCUGUGCCCGUGUCCUAUUUUUGGCACACGGAGGCCGCCCGCCAAGUCAGGUGCCAUUCCGAGUCCCGCGGACGAAGUUUGCCCACGCCCCCCACCAAGGCUAUAGCCCACCCGUUUUUUGGCCAUUUUUCCGCUGGGGGGUCUUGGGACCCCGACCUUCGGGGGCUGAUUUUUGGGCGCGGCUGUGCCCGUGGCCUAUUUUUGGCACACAGAGGCCGCCCGCCAAGUAUGGUGCCAUUCCGAGUCCCGCGGACGAACUUCGCCCACGCCGCCCACCAAGGCUAUAGCCCACCCGUUUUUUGACCAUUUUUCCGCUGGGGGGUCUUGGGACCCCGACCUUCGGGGGCUGAUUUUUGGGCGCGGCUGUGCCCGUGGCCUAUUUUUGGUACCCGGAGGCCGCCCGCCAAGUCAGGGGCCAUUCCGAGUCCCGCGGACGAAGUUCGCCCUCUCCCCCCACCAAGGCUAUAGCCCACCCGUUUUUUGGCCAUUUUUCCGCUGGGGGGUCUUGGGACCUCGACCUUCGGGGGCUGAUUUUUGGGCGCGGCUGUGCCCGUGUCCUAUUUUUGGCACACGGAGGCCGCCCGCCAAGUCAGGGGCCAUUCCGAGUCCCGCGGACGAAGUUCGCCCACGCCCCCCACCAAGGCUAUAGCCCACCCGUUUUUUGGCCAUUUUUCCGCUGGGGGGUCUUGGGACCCCGACCUUCGGGGGCUGAUUUUUGGGCGCGGCUGUGCCCGUGGCCUAUUUUUGGCACACAGAGGCCGCCCGCCAAGUAUGGUGCCAUUCCGAGUCCCGCGGACGAACUUCGCCCACGCCGCCCACCAAGGCUAUAGCCCACCCGUUUUUUGACCAUUUUUCCGCUGGGGGGUCUUGGGACCCCGACCUUCGGGGGCUGAUUUUUGGGCGCGGCUGUGCCCGUGGCCAAUUUUUGGUACCCGGAGGCCGUCCGCCAAGUCAGGGGCCAUUCCGAGUCCCGCGGACGAAGUUCGCCCACGCCCCCCACCAAGGCUAUAGCCCACCCGUUUUUUGGCCAUUUUUCCGCUGGGGGGUCUUGGGACCCCGACCUUUGGGGGCUGAUUUUUGGGCGCGGCUGUGCCCGUGGCCUAUUUUUGGCACACGGAGGCCGCCCGCCAAGUCAGGGGCCAUUCCGAGUCCCGCGGACGAAGUUCGCCCACGCCCCCCACCAAGGCUAUAGCCCACCCGUUUUUUGGCCAUUUUUCCGCUGGGGGGUCUUGGGACCCCGACCUUCGGGGUCUGAUUUUUGGGCGCGGCUGUGCCCGUGGCCUAUUUUUGGCACACGGAGACCACCCGCCAAGUAUGGUGCCAUUCCGAGUCCCGCGGACGAACUUCGCCCACGCCCCCCACCAAGGCUAUAGCCCACCCGUUUUUUGGCCAUUUUUCCGCUGGGGGGUCUUGGGACCCCGACCUUCGGGGGCUGAUUUUUGGGCGCGGCUGUGCCCGUGGCCUAUUUUUGGCACACGGAGGCCGCCCGCCAAGUAUGGUGCCAUUCCGAGUCCCGCGGACGAACUUCGCCCACGCCGCCCACCAAGGCUAUAGCCCACCCGUUUUUUGGCCAUUUUUCCGCUGGGGGGUCUUGGGACCCCGACCUUCGGGGGCUGAUUUUUGGGCGCGGCUGUGCCCGUGGCCUAUUAUUGGCACACGGAGGCCGCCCGCCAAGUCAGGGACCAUUCCGAGUCCCGCGGACGAAGUUCGCCCACGCCCCCCACCAAGGCUAUAGCCCACCCGUUUUUUGGACAUUUUUCCGCUGGGGGGUCUUGGGACCCCGACCUUCGGGGGCUAAUUUUUGGGCGCGGCUGUGCCCGUGGCCUAUUUUUGGCACACAUAGGCCGCCCGCCAAGUAUGGUGCCAUUCCUAGUCCCGCGGACAAACUUCUCCCACACCACCCACCAAGGCUAUAGCCCACCCGUUUUUGGCCAUUUUUCCGCUGGGGGGUCUUGGGAGCCCGACCUUCGGGGGCUGAUUUUUGGGCGCGGCUGUGCCCGUGGCCUAUUUUUGGCACACGGAGGCCGCCCGCCAAGUCAGGGGCCAUUCCGAGUCCCGCGGACGAAGUUCGCCCACGCCCCCCACCAAGGCUAUAGCCCACCCGUUUUUUGGCCAUUUUUCCGCUGGGGGGUCUUGGGACCCCGACCUUCGGGGGCUGAUUUUUGGGCCGCGGCUGUGCCCGUGGCCUAUUUUUGGCACACAGAGGCCGCCCGCCAAGUAUGGUGCCAUUCCGAGUCCCGCGGACGAACUUCGCCCACGCCCCCCACCAAGGCUAUAGCCCACCCGUUUUUUGGCCAUUUUUCCGCUGGGGGGUCUUGGGACCCCGACCUUCGGGGGCUGAUUUUUGGGCGCGGCUGUGCCCGUGGCCUAUUUUUGGCACACAGAGGCCGCCCGCCAAGUAUGGUGCCAUUCCGAGUCCCGCGGACGAACUUCGCCCACGCCCCCCACCAAGGCUAUAGCCCACCCGUUUUUUGGCCAUUUUUCCGCUGGGGGGUCUUGGGACCCCGACCUUCGGGGGCUGAUUUUUGGGCGCGGCUGUGCCCGUGGCCUAUUUUUGGCACACGGAGGCCGCCCGCCAAGUCAGGGGCCAUUCCGAGUCCCGCGGACGAAGUUCGCCCACGCCCCCCACCAAGGCUAUAGCCCACCCGUUUUUUGGCCAUUUUUCCACUGGGGGGUCUUGGGACCCCGACCUUCGGGGGCUGAUUUUUGGGCGCGGCUGUGCCCGUGGCCUAUUUUUGGCACACGGAGGCCGCCCGCCAAGUCAGGGGCCAUUCCAAGUCCCGCGUACGAAGUUCGCCCACGCCUCCCACCAAGGCUAUAGCCCACCCAUUUUUUGGCCAUUUUUCCACUGGGGGGUCUUGGGACCCCGACCUUCGGGGGCUGAUUUUUGUGCGCGGCUGUGCCCGUGGCCUAUUUUUGGCACACAGAGACCGCCCGCCAAGUAUGGUGCCAUUCCGAGUCCCGCGGACGAACUUCGCCCACGCCGCCCACCAAGUCUAUAGCCCACCCGUUUUUUGGCCAUUUUUCCGCUGGGGGGUCUUGGGACCCCGACCUUCGGGGGCUGAUUUUUGGGCGCGGCUGUGCCCGUGGCCUAUUUUUGGCACACAGAGGCCGCCCGCCAAGUAUGGUGCCAUUCCGAGUCCCGCGGACGAACUUCGCCCACGCCCCCCACCAAGGCUAUAGCCCACCCGUUUUUUGGCCAUUUUUCCGCUGGGGGGUCUUGGGACCCCGACCUUCGGGGGCUGAUUUUUGGGCGCGGCAGUGCCCGUGGCCUAUUUUUGGCACACAGAGGCCGCCCGCCAAGUAUGGUGCCAUUCCGAGUCCCGCAGAUGAACUUCGCCCACGCCGCCCACCAAGGCUAUAGCCCACCCGUUUUUUGGCCAUUUUUCCGCUGGGGGGUCUUGGGACCCCGACCUUCGGGGGCUGAUUUUUGGGCGCGGCUGUGCCCGUGGCCUAUUUUUGGCACACGGAGGCCGCCCGCCAAGUCAGGGGCCAUUCCGAGUCCCGCGGACGAAGUUCGCCCACGCCCCCCACCAAGGCUAUAGCCCACCCGUUUUUUGGCCAUUUUUCCGCUGGGGGGUCUUGGGACCCUGACCUUCGGGGGCUGAUUUUUGGGCGCGGCUGUGCCCGUGGCCUAUUUUUGGCACACAGAGGCCGCCCGCCAAGUAUGGUGCCAUUCCGAGUCCCGCGGACGAACUUCGCCCACGCCGCCCACCAAGGCUAUUGCCCACCCGUUUUUUGGCCAUUUUUCCACUGGGGGGUCUUGGGACCCCUACNNNNNNNNNNNNNNNNNNNNNNNNNNNNNNNNNNNNNNNNNNNNNNNNNNNNNNNNNNNNNNNNNNNNNNNNNNNNNNNNNNNNNNNNNNNNNNNNNNNNNNNNNNNNNNNNNNNNNNNNNNNNNNNNNNNNNNNNNNNNNNNNNNNNNNNNNNNNNNNNNNNNNNNNNNNNNNNNNNNNNNNNNNNNNNNNNNNNNNNNNNNNNNNNNNNNNNNNNNNNNNNNNNNNNNNNNNNNNNNNNNNNNNNNNNNNNNNNNNNNNNNNNNNNNNNNNNNNNNNNNNNNNNNNNNNNNNNNNNNNNNNNNNNNNNNNNNNNNNNNNNNNNNNNNNNNNNNNNNNNNNNNNNNNNNNNNNNNNNNNNNNNNNNNNNNNNNNNNNNNNNNNNNNNNNNNNNNNNNNNNNNNNNNNNNNNNNNNNNNNNNNNNNNNNNNNNNNNNNNNNNNNNNNNNNNNNNNNNNNNNNNNNNNNNNNNNNNNNNNNNNNNNNNNNNNNNNNNNNNNNNNNNNNNNNNNNNNNNNNNNNNNNNNNNNNNNNNNNNNNNNNNNNNNNNNNNNNNNNNNNNNNNNNNNNNNNNNNNNNNNNNGGCUGUACCCGUGGCCUAUUUUUGGCACACGGAGGCCGCCCGCCAAGUCAGGGGCCAUUCCGAGUCCCGCGGACGAAGUUCGCCCACGCCCCCCACCAAGGCUAUAGCCAACCCGUUUUUUGGCCAUUUUUCCGCUGGGGGGUCUUGGGACCCCGAGCUUCGGGGGCUGAUUUUUGGGCGCGGCUGUGCCCGUGGCCUAUUUUUGGAAUACAGUGACCGCCCGCCAAGUAUGGUGCCAUUCCGAGUCCCGCGGACGAACUUCGCCCACGCCGCCCCACCAAGGCUAUAGCCCACCCGUUUUUUGGCCAUUUUUCCGCUGGGGGGUCUUGGGACCCCGACCUUCGGGGGCUGUUUUUUGGGCGCGGCUGUGCCCGUGGCCUAUUUUUGGCACACGGAGGCCGCCCGCAACGUCUGGUGCCAUUCCGAGUCCCGCGGACGAACUUCGCCCACGCCCCCGACCAAGGCUAUAGCCCACCCGUUUUUUGGCCAUUUUUCCGCUGGGGGGUCUUGGGACCCCGACCUUCGGGAGCUGUUUUUUGGGCGCGGCUGUGCCCGUGGCCUAUUUUUGGCACACGGAGGCCGCCCGCCACGUCUGGUGCCAUUCCGAGUCCCGCGGACGAACUUCGCCCACGGCCCCCACCAAGGCUAUAGCCCACCCGUUUUUUGGCCAUUUUUCCGCUGGGGGGUCUUGGGACCCCGACCUUCGGGGGCUGUUUUUUGGGCGCGGCUGUGCCCGUGGCCUAUUUUUGGCACACGGAGGCCGCCCGCCAAGUCUGGUGCCAUUCCGAGUCCCGCGGACGAACUUCGCCCACGCCCCCCACCAAGGCUAUAGCCCACCCGUUUUUUGGCCAUUUUUCCGCUGGGGGGUCUUGGGACCCCGACCUUCGGGGGCUGUUUUUUGGGCGCGGCUGUGCCCGUGGCCUAUUUUUGGCACACGGAGGCCGCCCGCCAAGUCUGGUGCCAUUCCGAGUCCCGCGGACGAACUUCGCCCACGCCCCCCACCAAGGCUAUAGCCCACCCGUUUAUUGGCCAUUUUUCCGCUGGGGGGUCUUGGGACCCCGACCUUCGGGGGCUGGUUUUUGGGCGCGGCUGUGCCCGUGGCCUAUUUUUGGCACACGGAGGCCGCCCGCCAAGUCUGGUGCCAUUCCGAGUCCCGCGGACGAACUUCGCCCACGGCCCCCACCAAGGCUAUAGCCCACCCGUUUUUUGGCCAUUUUUCCGCUGGGGGGUCUUGGGACCCCGACCUUCGGGGGCUGUUUUUUGGGCGCGGCUGUGCCCGUGGCCUAUUUUUGGCACACGGAGGCCGCCCGCCAAGUCUGGUGCCAUUCCGAGUCCCGCGGACGAACUUCGCCCACGGCCCCCACCAAGGCUAUAGCCCACCCGUUUUUUGGCCAUUUUUCCGCUGGGGGGUCUUGGGACCCCGACCUUCGGGGGCUGUUUUUUGGGCGCGGCUGUGCCCGUGGCCUAUUUUUGGCACACGGAGGCCGCCCGCCAAGUCUGGUGCCAUUCCGAGUCCCGCGGACGAACUUCGCCCACGCCCCCCACCAAGGCUAUAGCCCACCCGUUUUUUGGCCAUUUUUCCGCUGGGGGGUCUUGGGACCCCGACCUUCGGGGGCUGGUUUUUGGGCGCGUCUGUGCCCGUGGCCUAUUUUUGGCACACGGAGGCCGCCCGCCAAGUCUGGUGCCAUUCCGAGUCCCGCGGACGAACUUCGCCCACGCCCCCCACCAAGGCUAUAGCCCACCCGUUUUUUGGCCAUUUUUCCGCUGGGGGGUCUUGGGACCCCGACCUUCGGGGGCUGUUUUUUGGGCGCGGCUGUGCCCGUGGCCUAUUUUUGGCACACGGAGGCCGCCCGCCAAGUCUGGUGCCAUUCCGAGUCCCGCGGACGAACUUCGCCCACGCCCCCCACCAAGGCUAUAGCCCACCCGUUUUUUGGCCAUUUUUCCGCUGGGGGGUCUUCGGACCCCGACCUUCGGGGGCUGGUUUUUGGGCGCGGCUGUGCCCGUGGCCUAUUUUUGGCACACGGAGGCCGCCCGCCAAGUCUGGUGCCAUUCCGAGUCCCGUGGACGAACUUCGCCCACGGCCCCCACCAAGGCUAUAGCCAACCCGUUUUUUGGCCAUUUUUCCGCUGGGGGGUCUUGGGACCCCGACCUUGGGGGGCUGUUUUUUGGGCGCGGCUGUGCCCGUGGCCUAUUUUUGGCACACGGAGGCCGCCCGCCAAGUCUGGUGCCAUUCCGAGUCCCGCGGACGAACUUCGCCCACGCCCCCCACCAAGGCUAUAGCCCACCCGUUUUUUGGCCAUUUUUCCGCUGGGGGGUCUUGGGACCCCGACCUUCGGGGGCUGUUUUUUGGGCGCGGCUGUGCCCGUGGCCUAUUUUUGGCACACGGAGGCCGCCCACCAAGUCUGGUGCCAUUCCGAGUCCCGCGGACGAACUUCGCCCACGCCCCCCACCAAGGCUAUAGCCCACCUAUUUUUUGGCCAUUUUUCCGCUGGGGGGUCUUGGGACCCCGACCUUCGGGGGCUGUUUUUUGGGCGCGGCAGUGCUCGUGGCCUAUUUUUGGCACACGGAGGCCGCCCUCCAAGUCUGCUGCCAUUCCGAGUCCCGCGGACGAACUUCGCCCACGCCCCCCACCAAGGCUAUAGCCCACCUAUUUUUUGGCCAUUUUUCCGCUGGGGGGUCUUGGGACCCCGAACUUCGAGGGCUGUUUUUUGGGUGCGGCUGUGCCCGUGGCCUAUUUUUGGCACACGGAGGCCGCCCGCCAAGUCUGGUGCCAUUCCGAGUCCCGCGGACGAACUUCGCCCACGCCCCCCACCAAGGCUAUAGCCCACCCGUUUUUUGGCCAUUUUUCCGCUGGGGGGUCUUGGGACCCCGACCUUCGGGGGCUGUUUUUUGGGCGCGGCUGUGCCCGUGGCCUAUUUUUGGCACACGGAGGCCGCCCGCCAAGUCUGGUGCCAUUCCGAGUCCCGCGGACGAACUUCGCCCACGCCCCCCACCAAGGCUAUAGCCCACCCGUUUUUUGGCCAUUUUUCCGCUGGCGGGUCUUGGGACCCCGGCCUUCGGGGGCUGUUUUUUGGGCGCGGCAGUGCCCGUGGCCUAUUUUUGGCACACGGAGGCCGCCCGCCAAGUCUGGUGCCAUUCCGAGUCCCGCGGACGAACUUCGCCCACGGCCCCCACCAAGGCUAUAGGCCACCCGUUUUUUGGCCAAUUUUCCGCUGGGGGGUCUUGGGACCCCGACCUUCGGGGGCUGUUUUUUGGGCGCGGCUGUGCCCGUGGCCUAUUUUUGGCACACGGAGGCCGCCCGCCAAGUCUGGUGCCAUUCCGAGUCCCGCGGACGAACUUCGCCCACGCCCCCCACCAAGGCUAUAGCCCACCCGUUUUUUGGUCAUUUUUCCGCUGGGGGGUCUUGGGACCCCGACCUUCGGGGGCUGUUUUUUGGGCGCGGCUGUGCCCGUGGCCUAUUUUUGGCACACGGAGGCCGCCCGCCAAGUCUGGUGCCAUUCCGAGUCCCGCGGACAAACUUCGCCCACGACCCCCACCAAGGCUAUAGGCCACCCGUUUUUUGGCCAUUUUUCCGCUGGGGGGGUCUUGGGACCCCGACCUUCGGGGGCUGUUUUUUGGACGCGGCUGUGCCCGUGGCCUAUUUUUGGCACACGGAGGCCGCCCGCCAAGUCUGGUGCCAUUCCGAGUCCCGCGGACGAACUUCGCCCACGGCCCCCACCAAGGCUAUAGGCCACCCGUUUUUUGGCCAAUUUUCCGCUGGGGGGUCUUGGGACCCCGACCUUCGGGGGCUGUUUUUUGGGCGCGGCUGUGCCCGUGGCCUAUUUUUGGCACACGGAGGCCGCCCGCCAAGUCUGGUGCCAUUCCGAGUCCCGCGGACGAACUUCGCCCACGCCCCCCACCAAGGCUAUAGCCCACCCGUUUUUUGGUCAUUUUUCCGCUGGGGGGUCUUGGGACCCCGACCUUCGGGGGCUGUUUUUUGGGCGCGGCUGUGCCCGUGGCCUAUUUUUGGCACACGGAGGCCGCCCGCCAAGUCUGGUGCCAUUCCGAGUCCCGCGGACGAACUUCGCCCACGGCCCCCACCAAGGCUAUAGCCCACCCGUUUUUUGGCCAUUUUUCCGCUGGGGGGUCUUGGGACCCCGACCUUCGGGGGCUGUUUUUUGGGCGCGGCUGUGCCCGUGGCCUAUUUUUGGCACACGGAGGCCGCCCGCCAAGUCUGGUGCCAUUCCGAGUCCCGCGGACGAACUUCGCCCACGCCCCCCACCAAGGCUAUAGCCCACCCGUUUUUUGGUCAUUUUUCCGCUGGGGGUCUUGGGACCCCGACCUUCGGGGGCUGUUUUUUGGGCGCGGCUGUGCCCGUGGCCUAUUUUUGGCACACGGAGGCCGCCCGCCAAGUCUGGUGCCAUUCCGAGUCCCGCGGACGAACUUCGCCCACGCCCCCCACCAAGGCUAUAGCCCACCCGUUUUUUGGCCAUUUUUCCGCUGGGGGGUCUUGGGACCCCGACCUUCGGGGGCUGUUUUUUGGGCGCGGCUGUGCCCGUGGCCUAUUUUUGGCACACGGAGGCCGCCCGCCACGUCUGGUGCCAUUCCGAGUCCCGCGGACGAACUUCGCCCACGGCCCCGACCAAGGCUAUAGCCCACCCGUUUUUUGGCCAUUUUUCCGCUGGGGGGUCUUGGGACCCCGACCUUCGGGGGCUGUUUUUUGGGCGCGGCUGUGCCCGUGGCCUAUUUUUGGCACACGGAGGCCGCCCGCCAAGUCUGGUGCCAUUCCGAGUCCCGCGGACGAACUUCGCCCACGGCCCCCACCAAGGCUAUAGCCCACCCGUUUUUUGGCCAUUUUUCCGCUGGGGGGUCUUGGGACCCCGACCUUCGGGGGCUGGUUUUUGGGCGCGGCUGUGCCCGUGGCCUAUUUUUGGCACACGGAGGCUGCCCGCCAAGUCUGGUGCCAUUCCGAGUCCCGCGGACGAACCUCGCCCACGCCCCCCACCAAGGCUAUAGCCCACCCGUUUUUUGGCCAUUUUUCCGCUGGGGGGUCUUGGGACCCCGACCUUCGGGGGCUGAUUUUUGGGCGCGGCUGUGCCCGUGGCCUAUUUUUGGCACACAGAGGCCGCCCGCCAAGUAUGGUGCCAUUCCGAGUCCCGCGGACGAACUUUGCCCACGCCCCCCACCAAGGCUAUAGCCCACCCGUUUUUUGGCCAUUUUUCCGCUGGGGGGUCUUGGGACCCCGACCUUCGGGGGCUGAUUUUUGGGCG
This 20252-nucleotide long non-coding RNA is filed under the name Citrus x clementina. RNAcentral's name for it is "Citrus clementina (C. clementina) long non-coding RNA (CCLE_LNC002229)". Lineage: Eukaryota; Viridiplantae; Streptophyta; Magnoliopsida; Sapindales; Rutaceae. The record is from RNAcentral.